GACGAACGCUGGCGGCGUGCUUAACACAUGCAAGUCGAACGGAAAGGCCCUGCUUUUGUGGGGUGCUCGAGUGGCGAACGGGUGAGUAAAACGUGAGUAACCUGCCCUUGACUUUGGGAUAACUUCAGGAAACUGGGGCUAAUACCGGAUAGGAGCUCCUGCUGCAUGGUGGGGGUUGGAAAGAUUCGGCGGUUGGGGAUGGACUCGCGGCUUAUCCGCUUGUUGGUGGGGUAGUGGCUUACCAAGGCUUUGACGGGUAGCCGGCCUGAGAGGGUGACCGGCCACAUUGGGACUGAGAUACGGCCCAGACUCCUACGGGAGGCAGAAGUGGGGAAUAUUGCACAGUGGGCGGAAGCCUGAUGCAGCAACGCCGCGUGCGGGAUGACGGCCUUCGGGUUGUAAACCGCUUUCGCCUGUGACGAAGCGUGAGUGACGGUAAUGGGUAAAGAAGCACCGGCUAACUACGUG
Molecule: ribosomal RNA, 468 nt
Filed under: uncultured bacterium
Lineage: Bacteria
Description: partial 16S ribosomal RNA
Rfam family: Bacterial small subunit ribosomal RNA
Source: RNAcentral